RNAcentral lists this ribosomal RNA (375 nucleotides) under Smicridea sp. GIT8. RNAcentral's name for it is "eukaryotic LSU rRNA". It matches the Rfam family "Eukaryotic large subunit ribosomal RNA", at positions 657 to 982 of the family's 3401-position model. The record is from RNAcentral. Lineage: Eukaryota; Metazoa; Arthropoda; Insecta; Trichoptera; Hydropsychidae.
GAACACGGACCAAGGAGUCUAGCAUGCGCGCGAGUCAUUGGGAUCCUAAACUAAACCCAGAGGCGCAAUGAAAGUGAACAGCGUCGACCUCGCGUCGACCGCAGGGAAGAUGACGGUCGGCAAGCCCGUCCGCUCGCAUUCCCGGGGCGUUUCGAGAAAUGCCUCCGUUGCGAUUAUCGAGACGCACCGAGAGCGCGCACGCUGGGACCCGAAAGAUGGUGAACUAUGCCCGGUCAGGUCGAAGUCAGGGGAAACCCUGAUGGAGGACCGAAGCGAUUCUGACGUGCAAAUCGAUCGUCUGAACUGGGUAUAGGGGCGAAAGACUAAUCGAACUAUCUAAUAGCUGGUUCCAUCCGAAGUUUCCCUCAGGAUAGA